This 2358-nucleotide ribosomal RNA is filed under the name Triticum aestivum (bread wheat). RNAcentral's name for it is "partial small subunit ribosomal RNA". Lineage: Eukaryota; Viridiplantae; Streptophyta; Magnoliopsida; Poales; Poaceae. The record is from RNAcentral.
AUGGCUUCUCUCGUCUUCCUCCUCCUAUUCGGCCAAAUCCUACUCUGCACAGCCGUCGACACCAUCACCUCCACCACACCGUUGUCCGGGUCACAGCAGAUUGUGUCCCAGGGCAGCAAGUUCACCUUGGGCUUCUACUCCCCACCGCAAGGUAACACCACCUCUAGCAAUUACUACAUAGCCAUAUGGUACAGCAACAUACCACUGGUGACCACGGUGUGGACGGCAACCACCGAUGUGCCAGUGUCUGACCCGACCACCGCCUCCUUGGAGAUCGCCAGCGACGGCAACCUUGUCCUCCUUGAUCAAGCCAAGAACCAGCUGCUAUGGUCGACCAAUGAAAGUAUAGCCUCCAACUCCACCAUGGCCACCAUCAGAGAUAGCGGUAGCCUCGACCUCACUGACGCCUCGAAUUCAUCGAUAGUUUACUGGCGAAGCAUAGACCAUCCAACAAACACCUGGCUUCCAGGGGGAAAACUCGGGCGGAAUAAGAUCACCAGUGUGAGCCAGAGGCUUGUUGCUUGGAAGAACAUGGCAGACCCGUCUCCAGGGUUGUUCACGCUGGAGCUGGACCCAAAUGGCACACCACAGUUUUUCAGCCAGUGGAAUUCGUCCAUAACCUACUGGUCCAGCGGCCCUUGGAAUGGCUAUAACUUCAGCUUUUCACCGGAGAUGACAACCACUUACGCAUACGAAUCCCGAUUCAUCAACAACGACACAGAAGGCUAUCUGUUCUACUCGCUCAAGGAUGUCUCGGUUGUCUCGCGGUUCAUCAUUGACGUCGGCGGACAGAUCAAGCAGCUGAGAUGGUUGGGAUACUCACAGCAGUGGGUCGUGUUCUGGUCCCAGCCAUGGUCACAGUGUGAGGUGUAUGCGCUCUGUGGGGCAUACGGCAGCUGCAACCUCAAUGCCCUGCCCUACUGCAACUGUGUCCAGGGGUUCAGCCAGAAGGUUCAGAGUGACUGGGACCUCCAAGAUUACAGUGGUGGGUGCAAGAGGAAUACACCAUUGCAGUGCCAGACCAACUCAACUUCUGCACAGGCUCCAUCUGAUAAGUUCCAUGUCAUGGAAGAUGUGCGCCUACCUGAUAAUGCUCAGGAUGCAGUGGCUACAAGCUCUCAGGAAUGUGAGGUGGUUUGUCUUAAUAGUUGCUUUUGCACUGCUUACACUUACAAUUACACUGGGUGCUUUGUUUGGCAUGGGGACCUGAUUACUCUCCAAGAUCAGAAGAAAACAACGAUCAUUGGCUCAGUUGUUGGCGGACUUGCUGCAGUUUUGAUAAUCCUUGCAGUUGUGUUGUUCUUCAUAUCUCAGAAGUUCCGCCGAGACAACUCUUCGGAUAUCCGGAAAUGCUGGGGCAUCGACUCUCUUCUUCUCGAUCUAUCAACACUAAGAGUGGCUACAAAUGACUUCAGCGAAGGAAAUAUGCUUGGUAAAGGAGGUUUUGGAAUGGUUCAUAAGGGAGUCCUACCUGACGGUAAACAAAUAGCAAUAAAAAGGCUAUGUAAGAGUUCCAGACAAGGAAUAGGGGAACUGAAAAGUGAACUAGUCCUGGUUGCUAAGCUUCGCCACAGGAAUCUUGUGAGCCUCAUUGGUGUUUGUUUGGAAGAACAAGAGAAAAUACUUGUGUAUGAAUUUAUGCCCAACAGAAGCCUUGAUACCAUUCUUUUUGAUUCUGAGAAACGCAAAGACCUAGACUGGGGAAGGAGAUUCAAGAUUAUCAGUGGAGUUGCUAGGGGAUUACAAUAUCUCCACGAAGAUUCUCAAUUGAAGAUAGUUCAUCGGGACCUGAAAGCAAGCAAUAUUUUGUUGGACUUUGAUUACAACCCUAAAAUUUCUGACUUUGGCUUAGCAAAGAUAUUUGGAGGGGAUCAAUCAGAAGAUGUCACUAGACGUAUUGCUGGGACAUAUGGAUACAUGUCGCCUGAAUAUGCCAUGCAUGGUCAAUACUCAGCAAAGUCAGACGCGUUCAGCUUCGGUGUUUUGGUUUUGGAGAUAGUCACAGGAAGAAGAAACAAUGGCUCCUGCAACUCCGAGCAAUAUAUUUAUCUUGUAAAUCUUGUAUGGGAGUACUGGACCAGGGGAAAUGUCAUCGAGCUGAUCGAUCCAUUGGUUAGCAAAGAACCUUCUCCCAUUGACCAGGUUCUGAAGUGCAUCCAGAUCGGGCUACUGUGUGUGCACAACAGACCUGAAGAUAGGCCGACAAUGUCGUCGGUAAAUGUCAUGCUUAGCAGCCACAAUGUCCCUCUCCCUUCUGUUUCCGUUCCAGCCUUCUGUGACGGAUUACAUGCAUACAGUGAUAAUUCGAAAGUGGCGUCUUUGAAUGGAAUGACCAUCACGAAGCUCGAGCCAAGAUGA